This 1310-nucleotide long non-coding RNA is filed under the name Glycine max (soybean). RNAcentral's name for it is "long non-coding RNA (GMAX_LNC002846)". The record is from RNAcentral. Lineage: Eukaryota; Viridiplantae; Streptophyta; Magnoliopsida; Fabales; Fabaceae.
GACACGAGGGCAUUUCAUUCAUAUUUGGAGAGAUUAAUUAAUCAUCAUCUUCAUGAUAUAUAAACUCACCCAUAUAAAUAUAAUAAAGAGCUAGAUGAUCAUUGCUCCACAGGAUACAGCUCAGCUCAUGAAAAAUUCUUAAUUUAUAGUAUAUGCUUAUGCAGAUCUAAACUUUGAGGGGAGGGGUAUACUUUCUAAGAAAAUUAAUUAAUGCAUGAAACUUAGGGAAUAAAUAAAAUUAACCACUUUUAAUUCAAUAAUCAAUAUAUCAGAGAUUUCCUCUUCCCAUUGGCUCUACAAAUUUAAUAACAAUAUUUAUGCGCUUGUGCUCAGGGGAGAAAGCUUGCUCAAUUACACUGCAUAUCUUAUUCAUACCUUCACUGCUCGAGAGAGCAUGAUAAAAGAAAAGAUUAACGUACAUGAAUUGGGAAAUAGAUAUCUGUAGCCUUUAUUCUAAUCUGAAUAGAAUCUUCUUUAAAUUAGUUGUUCAUUCUAAAUUAAUUAAUCCCUUUCCCUAUUUUGCUUCACACACACACACACACACACAUAUAUAUAUAUAUAUAUAUAUAUAUAUAUAUAUAUAUAUAAAUGUCAAGGUAUGGUGGUAAAAUUUAAGGAGGAAAUAUAUAGUCUGAAUUCAUGAACUUAUAAGAAAAAGAAAUUAAAACCCAUAUAUCCACUAUAUAUAAAUUAAGACAAUUGAACAAUCAACAAUUACUAUUAUCAAUAUCCUCUACUGAGAGAUAAUUUGAUUGGAGUAAGAUCAUUAUGAAUUAUAAAAAAAAUUCUUUAAGUACUUAACACAAUUAUACAUAUCUACUUAAAAACAACUAUACAUAUCAAGUACUCCAACUCAUAAUGAUUAAGCACUGGGAGUGACUUGAAGAACCUCAAUACCUUAUAUCAGUUAAUCUAAGCAGUUGAUGAUAAAUUAACUUGCAUGUGAUCACGCCUAUCCGUAUUUGCAUUCUUGUUUGGUUGCAUAAAUUAAGCCAUCCGGCCUGCUUGUUAUUUUGUGUGUGAAUUGACUGAAACCUUUGGCAGACAAAUUAAAACACAAGGAAUUAAAAUGCAAGAGGUUCUUAUACCUUGGCUAUAACUCAGACAAGUUGGGAAGUGGAAGCUACGUAUAAUUGAACAGAAGCCCAGGAAAGAUGACAACUACUGCUAAUUCAAGUUUGCUAUGCAGCUAUACCUAUAACAGACAGGAGUCCCUAAACUUUCUUCUAUAAACACUUUUCUCUAUCUCCCAUGCAUGCUUCUAUUUCUUAAAUAGAAAGCCCAUAUUUAUAGGAAAAAAAGGUUCUAUU